GAUGAACGCUGGCGGCGUGCCUAAUACAUGCAAGUCGAGCGAACGGACGAGAAGCUUGCUUCUCUGAUGUUAGCGGCGGACGGGUGAGUAACACGUGGAUAACCUACCUAUAAGACUGGGAUAACUUCGGGAAACCGGAGCUAAUACCGGAUAAUAUUUUGAACCGCAUGGUUCAAAAGUGAAAGACGGUCUUGCUGUCACUUAUAGAUGGAUCCGCGCUGCAUUAGCUAGUUGGUAAGGUAACGGCUUACCAAGGCAACGAUGCAUAGUCGACCUGAGAGGGUGAUCGGCCACACUGGAACUGAGACACGGUCCAGACUCCUACGGGAGGCAGCAGUAGGGAAUCUUCCGCAAAGGGCGAAAGCCUGACGGAGCAACGCCGCGUGAGUGAUGAAGGUCUUCGGAUCGUAAAACUCUGUUAUUAGGGAAGAACAUAUGUGUAAGUAACUGUGCACAUCUUGACGGUACCUAAUCAGAAAGCCACGGCUAACUACGUG
Molecule: ribosomal RNA, 497 nt
Filed under: uncultured bacterium
Lineage: Bacteria
Description: partial 16S ribosomal RNA
Rfam family: Bacterial small subunit ribosomal RNA
Source: RNAcentral